AACGGUUAGAAGUAAAAUAUCUGUGUAACAAAAGCUGAAUUUAUUUGGAAAUACUCACAUUGCAACUGUGAUUAAUGAAUCUUGCUAGGUUGCCACAUUUUGUUGCAUCAAUGAUCGUAUCCAGAUCAAUACGGAAUAGAGGAGUAUCUCUGCCCGUUGGAGUAGGACAAUCUAAAGAUCUUUGAAUUGCGAGUUCUGUUAAUAUAUCUGGAUCCUCGCUGUUGCAAGCCAAGGGACGAUGAUCGGACAUGCGGCUAUCCGUGUCUUGCUAUAAAUAAGAUAAAGAGACAAUAAAUAAAGAUUAUAUUUUUAAGUACUUAA
Long non-coding RNA from Vespula vulgaris, 321 nucleotides. RefSeq lists it as uncharacterized. Lineage: Eukaryota; Metazoa; Arthropoda; Insecta; Hymenoptera; Vespidae. The transcript is spliced from 2 exons. The record is from RefSeq and is a predicted model, not a curated record.